Molecule: long non-coding RNA, 1498 nt
Organism: Girardinichthys multiradiatus
Lineage: Eukaryota; Metazoa; Chordata; Actinopteri; Cyprinodontiformes; Goodeidae
Exons: 3
Source: RefSeq, a predicted model, not a curated record
UGUGAAAACCAGAGAUAAUCUUUUUAUGAGCAACUGGAGAUUCUACAUUCAAUUCAAUUAAAAAUACUUUAUUCAACCCAAAGGGAAAUUAAAUGUUGUUAUAGCUCAUAUUAUGUAGGUUUCUUCAAAGAGCCGUUGUAGAUGCAGAUGGCUGUGGGGAGGAAGGGUCUCCUGUAGCGGUCCGUCUUACAGCAGAUCUGAAGAAGCCUCUGACUGAAGGCACCUUUGUUGUAGGACAGUCUCAUGAAGAGGAUGCUCAGGAUUCUCCAUAAUGUUCUUGAUUUUAUGAAGAAUCCUUCUUUGCUCAGGGAUCUCCAGAGGUUCCAGUGUUAACUUGAUCACACCGGUGAUCUGCACUUUAACGGUUGCCAUUACAAAACACAACUGGACCACAAACAUCGCACAAGAAUGCCCCCCCGGUCCUGCUUUCCCACCUCCACAUCUCUUCACACUCCAUCCAUCCAUAUCUUUCAACUGCCAUUCACCUUCACCGAGGGUUAUGAGCAAUCCAAUUGCAGAUGUCUCCACUUUUGUUAAGCAAUUAGCAAGCUUCCCUUUGAUUUUGUAGGCUUGACGGCAUCAGGAAGGGAAUGGUUGUCCGUUGGCCUGUUAAAGGAGCCUCCUGUUGUGGUGCUCUGGUGGGAUCCAUAGGAAUCGGCUGUAGGUUUUUUAUGUAUGUACGUUGCUUUUAUUUCAUGCUGCAGAGAGUGAACCUCCAUUUCAAUGUAGUUAAAGCUGUUAUAUUCUUCUCGUCCAUCUUGAAAAUCGGCUUUUAGUUUGGGGAUAACAGCUGAAGAGAACAGGUCUGAACCACCCAUACAAAGUCAUCUACAUGACAUGCAAGGACUCCUGUCACCUUACAGAAAUCAUCGAGCCAGUAGAAGACAUCUGGAUCAACCUUUGACACAGUGCCCCCCAGGUCCUGCAUAGUUUCUUUCACCUUGUACCAGAACAAUAAGGCAUCUGCCAAGCCAUAAACACAUUUCUUUAGCUUCCAUACUCACUCUCUGGCUCUUGCGGUGGAAGGAUAUUUACAUCUGGUGUUGAAUCUUUACCUUGUAAAAAGGCUCCCUUUUAAUGUCCAUAGAGUUUAAUUUUCCAUUUAUUUUGACAUAUGACUGCAAUAACCAUCUACAGGGAUUCUGAGGAGCAUGUGGGUGAGUCUUUAGGAAGUUCUUGAGUGUUAAUUUCUUCAAGGCCUCUUGCAACAAGUUUAGGUUUGGGUACACUGCCCGCCUGUGUCUUCUUAAGAAUACACACCCACCUUGUUGAUACGCAUUUCUGAUGUUCAUCUUUCUCCUCUUUAAAUACAUUGUUUUUUUCCAUUUGUCAAGUUCUGUUUUUUUGUCUUGUAAGAAAAUAUCCUCCUCCACCACUAGUAUUUCAUCCCUGUUGUUAGUGUAUGACUUGUCGUUUUCAGAUGCUGUCACUUCAAGGUUGUUUACUUGUCCCAUAUCAACUGAUCCUGUGGAUCCAGCAAUUUCCUCUAGCCCACUGU